AACGAACGCUGGCGGCAGGCCUAACACAUGCAAGUCGAGCGAGGACUUCGGUCCUAGCGGCGGACGGGUGAGUAACGCGUGGGAACGUGCCCUUUGCUUCGGAAUAGCCCUGGGAAACUGGGAGUAAUACCGGAUGAGCCCUUUGGGGGAAAGAUUUAUCGGCGAAGGAUCGGCCCGCGUUGGAUUAGGUAGUUGGUGGGGUAAUGGCCUACCAAGCCGACGAUCCAUAGCUGGUUUGAGAGGAUGAUCAGCCACACUGGGACUGAGACACGGCGCAGACUCCUACGGGAGGCAGCAGUGGGGAAUCUUAGACAAUGGGGGAAACCCUGAUCUAGCCAUGCCGCGUGAGCGAUGAAGGCCUUAGGGUUGUAAAGCUCUUUCAGCUGGGAAGAUAAUGACGGUACCAGCAGAAGAAGCCCCGGCUAACUCCGUG
Molecule: ribosomal RNA, 433 nt
Filed under: uncultured bacterium
Lineage: Bacteria
Description: partial 16S ribosomal RNA
Rfam family: Bacterial small subunit ribosomal RNA
Source: RNAcentral